AGCAAGUUAGUAUAAUAAAUACCGUUGAGUUAGAAUCAAUAAAUAAGUCAAACCACUUACUUGCCA
Molecule: transfer RNA, 66 nt
Filed under: Venustaconcha ellipsiformis
Lineage: Eukaryota; Metazoa; Mollusca; Bivalvia; Unionida; Unionidae
Description: tRNA-Leu
Source: RNAcentral